Molecule: transfer RNA, 74 nt
Filed under: Podarcis lilfordi (Lilford's wall lizard)
Lineage: Eukaryota; Metazoa; Chordata; Lepidosauria; Squamata; Lacertidae
Description: tRNA.Ile
Source: RNAcentral
GCUUGGAUAGUUCAAUUGGUUAGAGCUUGGUGCUGAUAAUGCUAAGGUUGCAGGUUCAAUCCCCCUAUGGGACA